AUCUGAGAAAUUGACAAAGGUAAGAGGG
This 28-nucleotide non-coding RNA is filed under the name Cricetulus griseus (Chinese hamster). Lineage: Eukaryota; Metazoa; Chordata; Mammalia; Rodentia; Cricetidae. The record is from RNAcentral.